Long non-coding RNA from Amphiprion ocellaris (clown anemonefish), 794 nucleotides. The record is from Ensembl. NCBI's taxonomy places the organism in Eukaryota, Metazoa, Chordata, Actinopteri, Pomacentridae.
AGAGGCUGAUUGAAGCUGAGCUCAAUUAGAAGGAAAUGAGAGCAAAGAAGGAGAGGAGGAGGAAGGUUUGGAUGCAGAAAUUAGUCUCCAGAUCAGAGAAGUUUGCUGCAGAGAAUCAGUAAGAUGUGGUUCAGUGAAGUCCUGGCUGAUGUUUGCCUGCAGCUCAGGACUCAGCGGUGAUUUCUAGUGAAUCCUGGGAGGAAGAGGAGCAGCGAAGAUCAUAGCUGGGAAGGAAACUCUCUACUUUGGUGUUCAUGAAAUUAGAAACAGGUGCACUAGAGGGGUGCUCAGAGGGGCUCAGUGAUGCUCUGGUCCAGAUCUGGAAGGAGAUACCUCAGGACACCAUCCAUCGUCUCAUUAAGAGCCCCGACAUCAUCAGGCUGCAUACAAGCACGUGGAGACCAUACAAACUACUGAGUACCAUUUUGAGUUGCUGCCCAGGAAUUUCAGAAAGAUGGACCAGCCUGCCACGUCAUUUUUUCACUUUCAGUUUUGGGGUGUCUUGAAUUCAGCCCUCUGUAGGUUGAUCAUUUUCAUUUCUAUCAAGCAAUGUGGCAUGUUUUUGUUCUUAACACAUUAUCCAGUCCAUAUCAAUGUAGAUAUCCAGCUUGUUAUUUUUUCCCAUUAAAAUAUGAUGUAUUUUCAAAGUGUUCCUUUAAUUUUUUUGAGCAGUGUACAUAUUUUUUGGGCUGUAUUUUAGGGUUAACUUGCAUUUGAACAACACAAAGAAAAUCGGCCCAAUACACCCCACAAUGUUCCAAAAAUUCCAAUUAAAAACUGUUGAAAAAUGUUCA